UACGUAGGGUGCGAGCGUUAAUCGGAAUUACUGGGCGUAAAGGGCGCGUAGGCGGCCUUCUAAGUCGAACGUGAAAUCCCUGGGCUCAACCCAGGAACUGCGUCCGAUACUGGAAGGCUUGAAUCCGGGAGAGGGAUGCGGAAUUCCAGGUGUAGCGGUGAAAUGCGUAGAUAUCUGGAGGAACACCGGUGGCGAAGGCGGCAUCCUGGACCGGCAUUGACGCUGAGGCGCGAAAGCCAGGGGAGCAAACGGG
This 253-nucleotide ribosomal RNA is filed under the name uncultured bacterium. Its description in RNAcentral is "partial 16S ribosomal RNA". It matches the Rfam family "Bacterial small subunit ribosomal RNA", at positions 524 to 776 of the family's 1533-position model. The record is from RNAcentral.